This 642-nucleotide long non-coding RNA is filed under the name Elaeis guineensis (African oil palm). Its description in RNAcentral is "long non-coding RNA (EGUI_LNC078991)". Lineage: Eukaryota; Viridiplantae; Streptophyta; Magnoliopsida; Arecales; Arecaceae. The record is from RNAcentral.
UGAUAUGCCAAGUGCUAGGAUUAUUGGUUGCCAGAUUUGUUUUGAAUACGGGCAUGCGAGGAAGAGGUGAUCGCUUGUUUUUUCCUCUGAAUUGCAGAAAGAACGUGGGAUGUGGACUUGAAUAUUUUUUUUCUUAGAUUGCUCGUGGUUAGGAUCUUGUUUUGGAAAACCAACCAAUUGAAGAUUUUAUUCUUUCUAGUAUUGGAAACCUCCGGUUGAUCUUUGCAAAAGUUGAUAUGGUAAUAAAACAAACUGAUUGAUAUGGUAAUAAAAUAUGUAGACAUACAUACUGAUUUCAAACUGUUUUAUGCAACUGUUUUAUGCAAUUGUGGAUUAUCUACCUUCACUACUUUAUGCGACUGUGGGAGAUGGUUACGUGCGUUCUUUUUGUGGAUGCUCCUUAUCUAUUGCCUGUAACUAGUUUACCUUUCUGUAUUUAUUUUCUCUGAUUCAUCACAAGAAUUACAGCAUUUACAAGUCUACUGAAGUUACAGUAACAUUUUCCAACUCAGUUGCUCUUAAUCUGCUUUUUCUAUUACUUCUACAUGGGUAAUACACUAUUGUUGUGUUUAUCUUUACAUUGCUUCAAAUAAUGUGUUGAUAUAUGGGAGGAUAUUGAGUCAUUAUGGUUUUUCUUGGCCG